This 866-nucleotide ribosomal RNA is filed under the name uncultured Lysobacteraceae bacterium. RNAcentral describes it as "bacterial SSU rRNA". It matches the Rfam family "Bacterial small subunit ribosomal RNA", at positions 49 to 917 of the family's 1533-position model. Lineage: Bacteria; Pseudomonadati; Pseudomonadota; Gammaproteobacteria; Lysobacterales; Lysobacteraceae. The record is from RNAcentral.
CUACACAUGCAAGUCGACGGCAGCGGGCAGUAGCAAUACUGUGCCGGCGAGUGGCGGACGGGUGAGGAAUACAUCGGAAUCUACCUUGUCGUGGGGGAUAACGUAGGGAAACUUACGCUAAUACCGCAUACGAACCAUGGUUGAAAGCGGCGGACCGCAAGGCGUCGCGCGAUUGGAUGAGCCGAUGUCCGAUUAGCUAGUUGGCGGGGUAAAGGCCCACCAAGGCGACGAUCGGUAGCUGGUCUGAGAGGAUGAUCAGCCACACUGGAACUGAGACACGGUCCAGACUCCUACGGGAGGCAGCAGUGGGGAAUAUUGGACAAUGGGGGCAACCCUGAUCCAGCCAUGCCGCGUGUGUGAAGAAGGCCUUCGGGUUGUAAAGCACUUUUGUUGGGGAAGAAAAGCACUGGGCUAAUACCUUGGUGUCAUGACGGUACCCAAAGAAUAAGCACCGGCUAACUUCGUGCCAGCAGCCGCGGUAAUACGAAGGGUGCAAGCGUUACUCGGAAUUACUGGGCGUAAAGCGUGCGUAGGCGGUUUGUUAAGUCUGUCGUGAAAGCCCCGGGCUCAACCUGGGAAUGGCGAUGGAAACUGGCGAGCUAGAGUACGGUAGAGGAGAGUGGAAUUCCCGGUGUAGCAGUGAAAUGCGUAGAGAUCGGGAGGAACAUCAGUUGCGAAGGCGGCUCUCUGGACCAGUACUGACGCUGAGGCACGAAAGCGGGGGGAGCAAACAGGAUUAGAUACCCUGGUAGUCCACGCCCUAAACGAUGCGAACUGGACGUUGGGAGCAAUUAGGCUUCUCAGUGUCGAGCUACGCGUAGUCGCGCUGGGGGAGUACGUCGCAGACUGAACUCAAGGAUGACGGG